Molecule: ribosomal RNA, 253 nt
Filed under: uncultured bacterium
Lineage: Bacteria
Description: partial 16S ribosomal RNA
Rfam family: Bacterial small subunit ribosomal RNA
Source: RNAcentral
UACGUAGGGGGCAAGCGUUGUCCGGAAUCAUUGGGCGUAAAGAGCGUGUAGGCGGCCCGACAAGUCCGCCGUGAAAGUCCGAGGCUCAACCUCGGAAUGCCGGUGGAAACUGUCGGGCUUGAGUUCGGAAGAGGCGAGUGGAAUUCCUGGUGUAGCGGUGAAAUGCGCAGAUAUCAGGAGGAACACCAAUGGCGAAGGCAGCUCGCUGGGACGACACUGACGCUGAGACGCGAAAGCGUGGGGAGCAAACAGG